RNAcentral lists this ribosomal RNA (418 nucleotides) under Streptococcus lutetiensis. RNAcentral describes it as "bacterial SSU rRNA". It matches the Rfam family "Bacterial small subunit ribosomal RNA", at positions 57 to 464 of the family's 1533-position model. Lineage: Bacteria; Bacillati; Bacillota; Bacilli; Lactobacillales; Streptococcaceae. The record is from RNAcentral.
GCAGUAGAACGCUGAGACUUUAGCUUGCUAAAGUUGGAAGAGUUGCGAACGGGUGAGUAACGCGUAGGUAACCUGCCUACUAGCGGGGGAUAACUAUUGGAAACGAUAGCUAAUACCGCAUAACAGCAUUUAACUCAUGUUAGAUGCUUGAAAGGAGCAAUUGCUUCACUAGUAGAUGGACCUGCGUUGUAUUAGCUAGUUGGUGAGGUAAUGGCUCACCAAGGCGACGAUACAUAGCCGACCUGAGAGGGUGAUCGGCCACACUGGGACUGAGACACGGCCCAGACUCCUACGGGAGGCAGCAGUAGGGAAUCUUCGGCAAUGGGGGCAACCCUGACCGAGCAACGCCGCGUGAGUGAAGAAGGUUUUCGGAUCGUAAAGCUCUGUUGUAAGAGAAGAACGUGUGUGAGAGUGGAAA